UUCUUCUCAUUACCACCAGGGAGGAAAUCUAUUAGAAUAAGUUUCUCAUAAUGCUAAUUCAUAGGAGAUCUUGAUUUAUGUUACACUAGAUAACCAGCUUUAAUUCUAAACUGUAAGAGAAAAAGUAGGUCUUUAGUUUUGAUGGGUCAAAUGACUCGGUUGCCAGCACCAGGUUCGUGACCGUCUCCAGUGCCGACCUUCUU
This 203-nucleotide long non-coding RNA is filed under the name Bos taurus (domestic cattle). Its description in RNAcentral is "long non-coding RNA NONBTAT015334". The record is from RNAcentral. Lineage: Eukaryota; Metazoa; Chordata; Mammalia; Artiodactyla; Bovidae.